Ribosomal RNA from Denticeps clupeoides (denticle herring), 120 nucleotides. NCBI's taxonomy places the organism in Eukaryota, Metazoa, Chordata, Actinopteri, Clupeiformes, Denticipitidae. The record is from Ensembl.
GCUUACGGCCAUACCAGCCCAAGAACGGCCGGGUCUCGUCUGAUCUCGGAAGCUAAGAAGGCUUGGGCCUGGUUAGUACUUGGAUGGGAGACCUCCUGGGAAUACCAGGUGCUGUAAGCU